Acanthosepion pharaonis is the source of this 114-nucleotide non-coding RNA. NCBI's taxonomy places the organism in Eukaryota, Metazoa, Mollusca, Cephalopoda, Sepiida, Sepiidae. The record is from the annotation of a GenBank genome assembly.
UUACGGCCAUAUCACGUUGAAAAACCAGUUCCCGUAUGAUCACUGGAUAUAAGCAACUUCGAACGUGGUCAGUACUUAGAUGGGUGACCGGUUGGGAAUUUCAGGUGCUGUAAG